UACGUAGGGUGCGAGCGUUGUUCGGAUUUACUGGGCGUAAAGGGCGCGUAGGCGGCUUAACAAGUCACUUGUGAAAUCUCCGGGCUUAACUCGGAACGGCCAAGUGAAACUGUCAAGCUAGAGUGCAGAAGGGGCAAUCGGAAUUCUUGGUGUAGCGGUGAAAUGCGUAGAUAUCAAGAGGAACACCUGAGGUGAAGACGGGUUGCUGGGCUGACACUGACGCUGAGGCGCGAAAGCCAGGGGAGCAAACGGG
This 253-nucleotide ribosomal RNA is filed under the name uncultured bacterium. Its description in RNAcentral is "partial 16S ribosomal RNA". It matches the Rfam family "Bacterial small subunit ribosomal RNA", at positions 524 to 776 of the family's 1533-position model. The record is from RNAcentral.